This 593-nucleotide ribosomal RNA is filed under the name uncultured bacterium. RNAcentral's name for it is "bacterial SSU rRNA". It matches the Rfam family "Bacterial small subunit ribosomal RNA", at positions 912 to 1510 of the family's 1533-position model. The record is from RNAcentral.
GACGGGGGCCCGCACAAGCGGAGGAACAUGUGGUUUAAUUCGAUGAUACGCGAGGAACCUUACCCAGGCUCGAACGGUACAGGAAUAAAGGAGAGAUUCUUUAGCUCAGCAAUGAGUCUGUAUCGAGGUGCUGCAUGGUUGUCGUCAGCUCGUGCCGUGAGGUGUCGGCUUAAGUGCCAUAACGAGCGCAACCCCUGUCGUCAGUUGCCAUCAGGUAAAGCUGGGCACUCUGGCGAGACUGCCACCGUAAGGUGCGAGGAAGGUGGGGAUGACGUCAAAUCAGCACGGCCCUUACGUCUGGGGCGACACACGUGUUACAAUGGCAGGUACAGAGGGUAGCCAGGCGGCGACGCCGCGCCAAUCCCAAAAGCCUGUCUCAGUUCGGACUGGAGUCUGCAACUCGACUCCACGAAGCUGGAUUCGCUAGUAAUCGCGCAUCAGCCAUGGCGCGGUGAAUACGUUCCCGGGCCUUGUACACACCGCCCGUCAAGCCAUGGAAGCCGGGGGUGCCUGAAGUCCGUGACCGCAAGGAGCGGCCUAAGGCAAAACUGGUGACUGGGGCUAAGUCGUAACAAGGGUAGGCCGUACCGGAA